GACGAACGCUGGCGGCGUGCCUAAUACAUGCAAGUCGAGCGAGACUCUUCGGAGUCUAGCGGACGGACGGGUGAGUAACACGUGGGCAACCUGCCUGUGAGACUGGGAUAACACCGGGAAACCGGUGCUUAAUACCGGAUAAUCCUUUUCCUCUCAUGAGGGAAAGCUGAAAGUCGGUUUCGGCUGACACUUACAGAUGGGCCCGCGGCGCAUUAGCUAGUUGGUGAGGUAACGGCUCACCAAGGCGACGAUGCGUAGCCGACCUGAGAGGGUGAUCGGCCACACUGGGACUGAGACACGGCCCAGACUCCUACGGGAGGCAGCAGUAGGGAAUCUUCCACAAUGGACGAAAGUCUGAUGGAGCAACGCCGCGUGAGCGAUGAAGGCCUUCGGGUCGUAAAGCUCUGUUGUUAGGGAAGAACAAGUACCGGAGUAACUGCCGGUACCUUGACGGUACCUAACCAGAAAGCCACGGCUAACUACGUG
RNAcentral lists this ribosomal RNA (486 nucleotides) under uncultured bacterium. Its description in RNAcentral is "bacterial SSU rRNA". It matches the Rfam family "Bacterial small subunit ribosomal RNA", at positions 28 to 507 of the family's 1533-position model. The record is from RNAcentral.